Molecule: transfer RNA, 73 nt
Filed under: Mus musculus (house mouse)
Lineage: Eukaryota; Metazoa; Chordata; Mammalia; Rodentia; Muridae
Description: tRNA-Asn
Source: RNAcentral
GGAAAGAUGGCUCAGUGGUUAAGACCACUGACUAUUCUUCCAGAGGUCCUGAGUUCAAUUCCCAGCACCCCCA